UAUUAAAUUGACAAAUGUGGUAUACUA
This 27-nucleotide small RNA is filed under the name Bombyx mori (domestic silkworm). RNAcentral describes it as "piRNA piR-bmo-1644235". The record is from RNAcentral. Lineage: Eukaryota; Metazoa; Arthropoda; Insecta; Lepidoptera; Bombycidae.